RNAcentral lists this unclassified non-coding RNA (191 nucleotides) under Golovinomyces asterum var. solidaginis. RNAcentral describes it as "sequence contains ITS1". The record is from RNAcentral. Lineage: Eukaryota; Fungi; Ascomycota; Leotiomycetes; Helotiales; Erysiphaceae.
CAGAGCGUGAGACUCUGCCCGGGUUCGCCCCGCGCGCAGAGUUGACCCUCCACCCGUGUCGACGUAUCUCUUGUUGCUUUGGCGGGCCCGGUGCCGCGCGCGCCCCCCGGCGCUCCGCUGGGUUGUGUCCGCCAGAGACCCCCCUUAACUCGUGUUGUCGUGUCGUCUGAGGAAAAAUAUGUGAAUUGUUA